AUGAAGAAGAAGGGUGUUAGCAUUGUUGCAUUGUGGGAAAGAGCUUCAAAGGAAAAUAAAAGAACUUCCACAUCUACACCAAAUCCUCCUGAUGUUGAAGUUGAGAGCAGUAGCAUUCCUCCUGAUGUUGAGAGCAAUCUGCAACUGGCACUAGUGCAAGCACAUGAACCGGAUGAUAGUCACACAGAACCUGGGAGUGGCUCCCCAGCCCCAAUUAUAGAAGAUGAUGAAGCAAAUGAUGAAGUUCAAUUUGAAGUAGAUUUGGAUGCACUUGAGUCAGAUCCUGGGAAACGGAUCCCCAUCUCUAGGUACAAUGUCAAUGACCAGGAUAAAGUUAGAAGGAGAUACAUCGAGUUGGGGUCAUGUCAACCAAAGAAACAUAAUUUUGAGUACAGAGACAUAAGUGGAUUACAACAUCGCUUUUGUCCUUCUUGGUUUAAGGAUUACAAGUGGCUUGAGUAUAGUGUGAACAAAGAGGCUGCUUUCUGCUUUGUUUGCUAUUUGUUCAAGGAUAAAACAAAAAGCCCCGGUGGAGAUUCAUUUGUUAAGGGUGGGUUUAGAAACUGGAACAUGAAAGCAAGAUUGACAAGGCAUGUUGGUGAUGUAAGUAGUGCUCACGCUGAAGCUCAAGAGAAGUAUGAUAUGUUCACUACACCACAAACAUCAAUUCGGGAGUCUGUUGCUUCCAACACCUCACAAUACAAGGCUUUGUAUAAACAACGUUUGACAUGGACACUCAAGUGUGUGAGAUUUCUGUUGCGCCAAGGCUUGGCAUUUAGAGGACAUGAUGAAAGUGAAGACUCGCUAAAUAAAGGAAAUUUCCUUGAGCUUCUAAAUUGGCUAGCAGGAAAUUUUGAAGAGGUUGACAGGGUUGUUCUCAAGAAUGCUCCACGGAACUGCAAGAUGACUCACCAUGAUAUACAACAAGAGGUGAUAAAAUGUUGUGCACAAGAGACUACUAAACUAGUCAUUGAAGAACUUGAUGGUGGUCAUUUUGCAAUACUUGCAGAUGAGUCUAGUGAUGUGUAUCAGAAUGAACAGUUGGCUGUUUGCUUGCGUUAUGUUGAUAAGAAAGGAAGGGCGGCUGUAAGUUUUCUUGGUCUUGCUCAUGUUGAAGAUACUACCUCUCAGACACUAAAAGAUGCAAUUCAGAAAAUGCUUAUGGACUACAAUUUAACCUUUGCAAUGUAUGUUCAUUGUUUUGCCCAUCAACUACAGUUAACUCUUGUUGUUGUUGCUAAGGAGAGCGGUGAUUGUACUUGGUUCUUUUAGCAGCUUGCACACUUGUUAAAUGCUCUUGGCAUGUCUUGUAAAAAGAUGAGAAUGCUUCGGAUAGCUCAGGCUGAAGAACUCAUUAAUGCAUUGGAAUUGGAAGAAGUAGAAACAGGGGGGCUGAAUCAGGAAAUGGGUUUGGGAAGGCCAUGUGAUACACGUUGGGGCUCUCACUUCAAAACUGUGAACCAUGUCAUCUCUAUGUAUGGUGCACUAGGACGAGUCCUUCGCAAGAUUGGAGACGAGUACCAUGGUGCGGAGGCACAAGCGGCUCUAUCCAUAGAGACAAUAUUUCGAUCAUUUGAGUUUGUUUUCAUGGCACACUUGAUGCAAGAAAUAUUUGGAUACACAGAUGAGUUGUGUAGAGCUUUGCAAAAGCAAGACGAAGAUAUUGUUCAUGCUAUUGAGCUUGUUGGUGACACAAAGUAUUACUUGGAGGCUUUGAGGACCGAUGCUGGAUGGGAUGAUUUUCUCACAAAGGUCACAUCUUUUUGUACAAAGCAUAAGAUCAAAGUUGUUGAUAUGGAGGGUCCUUACUUUCCCGUUGGCCAGCCUAGAAGGGGUUUAUGUAAUGGUGUGAUCAAUUACCACCGCUUCAAGGUUGAUAUGUCUGUGGGUGUCAUUGAUAGGCAAAUCAGUGAGGUGAAUGGCAGAUUUGAUGAGGUAAACACGGAGCUACUUCAUUGCAUGGCAGCAUUUUGUCCACUUCAUCUAUUUGCUGCUUAUGACCAAGAUAAGUUGGUUAGGCUUGCUACAAAGUUUUAUGCUUCUGAUUUUACAAGUGAUGAACUGGCAAGACUUCCAUGGCAACUAAACAUGUAUGUUAUUAAUUUGAUUCUGCCAGUAGCUACUGCUAGGGUUGAAAGGGUGUUCUCUUCAAUGAGCCAUGUGAAGAAUAAGCUAAGGAACAAAAUGGGUGAUGAAUAUUUGAACAAUUGUUUGGUUACAUUUGUUGAGAGAGAAUUUUUCAAUCAAGUGAAGGAUGAAGAUGUCAUCAAUCUCUCCAAAAAGGCGACCGCAAAGUUAUAUUGUAAGAAGGAUAUCAUCACUUUAUCAAUCAAAAGGUACUUAUGUAUUCAUGUCGUUAUGGUCCAAUACAUUGAAAUAUUGCUAUUGCCGUUAUGCUAG
Molecule: ribosomal RNA, 2400 nt
Filed under: Triticum aestivum (bread wheat)
Lineage: Eukaryota; Viridiplantae; Streptophyta; Magnoliopsida; Poales; Poaceae
Description: partial small subunit ribosomal RNA
Source: RNAcentral